RNAcentral lists this ribosomal RNA (1959 nucleotides) under human gut metagenome. RNAcentral describes it as "bacterial LSU rRNA". It matches the Rfam family "Bacterial large subunit ribosomal RNA", at positions 1 to 1980 of the family's 2925-position model. The record is from RNAcentral.
UUAAGUGAAUAAGGGCGUACGGUGGAUGCCUAGGCACUUGGAACUGAAGAAGGACGCAACAAACGGCGAAACGCGACGGGGAGUGGUACGUACACAAAGAUCCGUCGAUAUCCGAAUGGGGAAACCCGGCAGCAGUAAUGAGCUGUCACCCAUGAGUGAAUACAUAGCUCAUGAGGGAGGUACCCGGAGAACUGAAACAUCUAAGUAUCCGGAGGAAAAGAAAAUAAGAAUGAUUCCGUAAGUAGCGGCGAGCGAACGCGGAGGAGCCCAAACCAGAUCUUGAUCUGGGGUUGUAGGACCACGAAAUGGCAAGAGCAUGGCUAAGAGAACGGCAUUGAAAGGCCGACCGGAGAGGGUGCAAGUCCCGUAACUGAAAGCAAUGUGAAGCCUAGUGGUAUCCUGAGUACGGCGAGACACGAGAAAUCUUGUCGGAAGCAGGCGGGACCAUCCGUCAAGGCUAAAUAUACCCAAGUGACCGAUAGUGAACCAGUACCGUGAGGGAAAGGUGAAAAGAACCGCGGGAGCGGAGUGAAAUAGAACCUGAAACCGUAUGCUUACAAGAAGUCAGAGCCCGUUAAAGGGUGAUGGCGUGCCUUUUGUAGAAUGAACCGGCGAGUUACGUUAUCGUGCGAGGUUAAGUAGAAGAUACGGAGCCGAAGCGAAAGCGAGUCUUAAUAGGGCGACAGUACGAUGAUGUAGACCCGAAACCGUGUGAUCUAGCCAUGACCAGGUUGAAGUUCAGGUGAAACUGAAUGGAGGACCGAACCGACCCCCGUUGAAAAGUUGGCGGAUGAGUUGUGGCUAGGGGAGAAAUUCCAAUCGAACACGGAUAUAGCUGGUUCUCCCCGAAAUAGCUUUAGGGCUAGCGUCGAGGCAGAGUCGCAUGGAGGUAGAGCACUGAAUGUACGAUGGCCCCAUCCCGGGGUACUGAGUAUAAUCAAACUCCGAAUGCCAUGCAGACGUACUCGGCAGUCAGACUGUGGGUGAUAAGGUCCAUGGUCAAAAGGGAAACAGCCCAGACCGCCAGUUAAGGUCCCAAAAUGUAUGCUAAGUGGAAAAGGAUGUGGGGAUGCACAGACAACUAGGAGGUUGGCUCAGAAGCAGCCAUCCUUCAAAGAGUGCGUAACAGCUCACUAGUCGAGUGACCCUGCGCCGAAAAUGUACCGGGGCUAAGCAUACUACCGAAGCUGCGGAUUCAACUUCAGAGUUGAGUGGUAGGGGAGCGUUGCAUGCACGUAGAAGCCGUACCGUAAGGAGCGGUGGAGAGCAUGGAAGAGAGAAUGCCGGUGUGAGUAGCGAGAUGUAGGUGAGAAUCCUACACACCGAUAGCCCAAGGAUUCCAGGGGAAGGUUCGUCCGCCCUGGGUAAGUCGGGACCUAACGCGAGGCCGAAAGGCGUAGUGGAUGGAAAACAGGCAGAUAUUCCUGUACCCGCGAUGGAAAUGAAGGAAUGACGGAGAAGGCUAGUGUGAGCCACUGAACGGAUUGUGGUCAAAGCAUAUAGCAGGCUGACAGUGAAAUGCGUCAGCGGGAUGUAAGAUGUGACAGGUAAGGGAACGUCCUUGGACAAGUACUGAAGCACAUGAUGCCAGCUUCCAAGAAAAGUUUCUAGUGAUAAUUCCAUAGCGGCCCGUACCAAAACCGACACAGGUGGGCAAGGAGAGAAUCCUGAGGUGAGCGAGAGAACUGUUGCCAAGGAACUCGGCAAAAUGACUCCGUAAGUUAGCGAUAAGGAGUGCUCUUGUAAAAGAGAGCCGCAGUGAAGAGGCCCAAGCGACUGUUUAACUAAAACACAGCUCUCUGCAAAGUCGCAAGACGAAGUAUAGGGGGUGACGCCUGCCCGGUGCUGGAAGGUUAAGAGGAUUUGUCAUCCGCAAGGAGAAGCAAUGAAUUGAAGCCCCAGUGAACGGCGGCCGUAACUAUAACGGUCCUAAGGUAGCGAAAUUCCUUGUCAGGUAAG